This 85-nucleotide transfer RNA is filed under the name Felis catus (domestic cat). It matches the Rfam family "tRNA". Rfam says of the family: Transfer RNA (tRNA) molecules are approximately 80 nucleotides in length. Lineage: Eukaryota; Metazoa; Chordata; Mammalia; Carnivora; Felidae. The record is from Rfam by way of RNAcentral.
GCCUGGGUGGCUCAGUCGGUUAAGCAUCUGACUUCGGCUCAGGUCGUGAUCUCAUGGUUUGUGAGUUCGAGCCCCACGUCGGGCU